This 293-nucleotide ribosomal RNA is filed under the name uncultured bacterium. Its description in RNAcentral is "partial 16S ribosomal RNA". It matches the Rfam family "Archaeal small subunit ribosomal RNA", at positions 455 to 747 of the family's 1478-position model. The record is from RNAcentral.
GUGCCAGCCGCUGCGGUAAUACCGGCAGCCCAAGUGAUGGCCACUCUUAUUGGGCCUAAAGCGUCCGUAGCCGGCCUCGCAAGUCCGUCGGGAAAUCCAGUAGCUCAACUACUGGGCGUCCGGCGGAAACUACAAGGCUUGGGACCGGAAGGCUCGAGGGGUACGUCCGGGGUAGGAGUGAAAUCCUGUAAUCCCGUCCGGACCACCGAUGGCGAAAGCACUUCGAGAAAACGGAUCCGACAGUGAGGGACGAAAGCUAAGAUCGCGAACCGGAUUAGAUACCCCGGUAGUCC